GAUGAACGCUGGCGGCGUGCUUAACACAUGCAAGUCGAACGGGAAUUCAUUUAUUGCUACUUCUGUCGGUUUGAUUUAAUUCUACGGGCGGGGGGUUGAGUAACACGUAGUUAUUCUUGGUUAUACAGGGGGGUAACCUUCAGAAAUGGCUGCAUAUACCGCAUAAGCGCAAGGAGCGGCAUGUCGCAGUGUGCAAAAGUCAGGGGGGAUAAGAUGGAUCCGCGUGGGAGUAGAUGGUUGGUGGGGUAACGGCCCACCAAGGCGACGAUCCAUAGCCGGGCUGAGAGGGUGAACGGAGACAUUGGGACUGGGACACGGCCCAGAAUCCUACGGGAGGGAGCAGUGGGGAAUAUUGCAAAAUGGGGGAAACCAUGAUGCAGCGACGCCGCGAGAAGGAAGAAGUAUCUCGGUAUGUAAACUUCUAUAAGCAGGGAAGAUAGUGACGGUACCUGACUAAUAAGCCCCGGCUAACUACGUG
RNAcentral lists this ribosomal RNA (478 nucleotides) under uncultured bacterium. Its description in RNAcentral is "partial 16S ribosomal RNA". It matches the Rfam family "Bacterial small subunit ribosomal RNA", at positions 28 to 507 of the family's 1533-position model. The record is from RNAcentral.